UUCGCCUCUGCUGCCAUAAGCAGGCAGGCGGCCUGAGGCCUCGUCAUCCACCUCCUAAAAUUUCGUGGUGGAACACGCCGCCGUCGUUCCUCCGACCGAGCGCGUCUUCUCUCAAUAGGUGAAAGCUCUCGAAACCCGAUUGAUGCUUCAGAAGUUUUCUUUCUCAAGAACUGAAGCUUUUUCAAUCUAGCCGAUUGUUCGGAAGUCAAUUUUGGAUUGCAUCUUUUUCCCCGAUACACAUUCUUCAACUGGCUCGUCCCAGUUUGCAACCUUAAAUCUUGUACUGUACUAGGUAUUUCCCUGCACCUUUUACUACUAGGUGCUCCGUACUAGCUAAAUCUAUGCAUCGACUCCUGCUUUUGUUGCUGCAGGCAAAUCUCUCCGGUGAUCCUGUGAUUGUGGGAGACUCCAGCCGACUCUUGUGUCGACACCAGCAGGGGCACGGUGGUGACGAGCCUAGCUGAGAGACUUUGUCUUCUGAGGAGCAUUGGGGAGGAGUUCAUCGACGAGGAUGAACUCCUGUUGCUGCUGAACAACAAGGCUGCCCUGUUUGCUACGUUUGGUCUGUGACGUCCCCCUCGAUGCACAUUGCCCAGGGGAUUAUUUAGACGGUGUUUGUGAAUAGGAUGGUCGGAGCUGGUUUCAAAGUCAAAAUCUUGAUAGCAGAUUGGUUUGCCCAGAUGAGCUAUAAGAUUGGUAGUAAUCUGGAUAAAAUACAGACUAUCGGCCAGUACAAUAUUGAAGUGUGGAAGGCAACUGGCAUGGACCUUACCAGGGUGGAGCUUGUUUGGCUGUCAGAUGUAAUGAAUAUCCAUGCAGCCAAUUUUUGGC
Triticum aestivum (bread wheat) is the source of this 831-nucleotide long non-coding RNA. RefSeq lists it as uncharacterized. Lineage: Eukaryota; Viridiplantae; Streptophyta; Magnoliopsida; Poales; Poaceae. The transcript has 3 exons. The record is from RefSeq and is a predicted model, not a curated record.